Molecule: ribosomal RNA, 624 nt
Filed under: Triticum aestivum (bread wheat)
Lineage: Eukaryota; Viridiplantae; Streptophyta; Magnoliopsida; Poales; Poaceae
Description: partial small subunit ribosomal RNA
Source: RNAcentral
AUGGAGCGCGCCGGCGCCGCGCCGGGGGUCCCUGCGGCAGGGGAGGGCGCGGCGGCGGCGGCCGCAGCGCCGACCCCGGUGGCAGGGGCAGGGGUGGUGAAGGGGAGGUCCUGCAAGGGCUGCCUCUUCUACUCGUCGGUGCUCAGGUCCAAAGGGCGCGGCCCCGUCUGCGUCGGCGUCACCCGCGGCAUCCCCCAAGUUCCUGAUCGUAUGGUUGGAGAAAUUGAGCUGGGAGCUAUCCAAGAAGGUCGCAACCUUUCCAACUUCAAAUAUGCAUGUGCUGGAUAUUCCAUAUACCUAGAUGACAAGGAUACCUCUACAGUGAAGGGAGAGAAGCAUGCAGAGCUCCCUAUCUGUGUUGGAGUUGAGCUAUUGACAGACAGAGCUCCAACUAAACAAGCUCCAGCUCACGUAACUAAACAAGCUCCAGGUCACAUGAAAAAAGAAGCUACUCAAGCACAUGGACACAAACCUGCGCUGACACAAGCCGAUUUCAUAACCAAAUUUCAGAGGAAUGCUGGACUUGUGGCCAGUGGUGUGGUCAGGAACAUGAAUAAAAUUGGGACUUACGUCAAAGACACGGUGGAUGACAUCCUGUACCCAUACCGCAAGCGUCCCAAGUAA